This 451-nucleotide ribosomal RNA is filed under the name uncultured bacterium. Its description in RNAcentral is "partial 16S ribosomal RNA". It matches the Rfam family "Bacterial small subunit ribosomal RNA", at positions 29 to 523 of the family's 1533-position model. The record is from RNAcentral.
AGCGAACGCUGGCGGCAGGCCUAACACAUGCAAGUCGAGCGGCCGUAGCAAUACGGCAGCGGCAGACGGGAGAGUAACACGUGGGAACGCGCCCUUCGGUUCGGAAUAACUCAGGGAAACUUGGGCUAAUACCGGAUACGCCCUUACGGGGAAAGAUUUAUUGCCGAAGGAACGGCCCGCGUCCGAUUAGCUUGUUGGUGAGGUAACGGCUCACCAAGGCGACGAUCGGUAGCUGGUCUGAGAGGAUGACCAGCCUCACUGGGACUGAGACACGGCCCAGACUCCUACGGGAGGCAGCAGUGGGGAAUAUUGGACAAUGGGCGCAAGCCUGAUCCAGCCAUGCCGCGUGGGUGAUGAAGGCCCUAGGGUUGUAAAGCCCUUUCGGCGGGGAAGAUAAUGACGGUACCCGCAGAAGAAGCCCCGGCUAACUUCGUGCCAGCAGCCGCCGUAA